RNAcentral lists this ribosomal RNA (317 nucleotides) under Cryptops niuensis. Its description in RNAcentral is "eukaryotic LSU rRNA". It matches the Rfam family "Eukaryotic large subunit ribosomal RNA", at positions 697 to 946 of the family's 3401-position model. Lineage: Eukaryota; Metazoa; Arthropoda; Chilopoda; Scolopendromorpha; Cryptopidae. The record is from RNAcentral.
GGUCGUUUCCCGAAAGGACGAAACCCAUUCGGCGCAAUGAAAGUGAAGACGAACCUCGCGUUCGUUGUAGCGGGAUCCGCUAAUGAAAAAAGGGUGACAUAUGUCUGUAAGCAACCCUGCGGCGCACCGCUGGCCCGUCUCGUCCGCAACGUCGGUGAGGCGGAGCUCGAGCGUACACGUUGGGACCCGAAAGAUGGUGAACUAUGCGUGGGCAGGACGAAGCCAGAGGAAACUCUGGUGGAGGUCCGUAGCGAUUCUGACGUGCAAAUCGAUCGUCAGACCUGUGUAUAGGGGCGAAAGACUAAUCGAACCAUCUA